Molecule: ribosomal RNA, 267 nt
Filed under: uncultured bacterium
Lineage: Bacteria
Description: partial 16S ribosomal RNA
Rfam family: Bacterial small subunit ribosomal RNA
Source: RNAcentral
GACGAACGCUGGCGGCGUGCUUAACACAUGCAAGUCGAGCGGUAAGGCCCUUUCGGGGGUACGACGAGCGGCGAACGGGUGAGUAACACGUGGGUGACCUGCCCUUACGCUCUGGGAUAAGCCUGGGAAACUGGGUCUAAUACCGGAUAUGACCUCAUGACGCAUGUUGUGGGGUGGAAAGCCUUGUGCGGCUAGGGAUGGACCCGCGGGCCCUAUCAGCUUGUUGGUGGGGUAAUGGCCUACCAAGGCGACGACGGGUAGCCGGCC